Molecule: non-coding RNA, 149 nt
Filed under: Lachnospira rogosae (ex Hitch et al. 2025)
Lineage: Bacteria; Bacillati; Bacillota; Clostridia; Lachnospirales; Lachnospiraceae
Source: RNAcentral
AUUGUGAUAUUUCUUAGGCUUUCCCUCUACGUCCAACAGCACUCGUACAAGGAUGUACGAGUGAGCGAAUACGAAACACGGAUGUUUCGUCUGAGCGGCUGUGUCCCUAUCAACAACCUUCACGGAAAGUCUUAGAAAUAUCCAAUCUG